UACGAAGGGGGCUAGCGUUGCUCGGAAUGACUGGGCGUAAAGGGCGCGUAGGCGGACAUAUUAGUCAGGCGUGAAAUUCCUGGGCUCAACCUGGGGUCUGCGUUUGAGACGGUGUGUCUAGAGUUUGGCAGAGGGUCGUGGAAUUCCCAGUGUAGAGGUGAAAUUCGUAGAUAUUGGGAAGAACACCGGUGGCGAAGGCGGCGACCUGGUCCAUGACUGACGCUGAUGCGCGAAAGCGUGGGGAGCAAACAGG
This 253-nucleotide ribosomal RNA is filed under the name uncultured bacterium. Its description in RNAcentral is "partial 16S ribosomal RNA". It matches the Rfam family "Bacterial small subunit ribosomal RNA", at positions 524 to 776 of the family's 1533-position model. The record is from RNAcentral.